GCUGGGCGUGGUGGCGCACGCCUGUAAUCCUAGCACUUGGGAGGCUGAGGCAGGAGGAUCACUGUGAGUCCAAGACCCGCCUGGGCUCCAGUGAGCUCAAGGCCAGCCUGGACUACAUAGGGAGAUCCUGUCUCCA
This 136-nucleotide non-coding RNA is filed under the name Fukomys damarensis (Damara mole-rat). The record is from Rfam by way of RNAcentral. Lineage: Eukaryota; Metazoa; Chordata; Mammalia; Rodentia; Bathyergidae.